RNAcentral lists this transfer RNA (63 nucleotides) under Scleropages formosus (Asian bonytongue). It matches the Rfam family "tRNA". From Rfam's summary of the family: Transfer RNA (tRNA) molecules are approximately 80 nucleotides in length. Their secondary structure includes four short double-helical elements and three loops (D, anti-codon, and T loops). Further hydrogen bonds mediate the characteristic L-shaped molecular structure. tRNAs have two regions of fundamental functional importance: the anti-codon, which is responsible for specific mRNA codon recognition, and the 3' end, to which the tRNAs corresponding amino acid is attached (by aminoacyl-tRNA synthetases). tRNAs cope with the degeneracy of the genetic code in two manners: having more than one tRNA (with a specific anti-codon) for a particular amino acid; and 'wobble' base-pairing, i.e. permitting non-standard base-pairing at the 3rd anti-codon position. The record is from Rfam by way of RNAcentral. Lineage: Eukaryota; Metazoa; Chordata; Actinopteri; Osteoglossiformes; Osteoglossidae.
GGCCUAAUGACUCAGACAUUAGCCUUUGGAGCUAAACUGUGGGUUUGAGUCCCAUUUGGGUCU